CCUCCUUUCUAAGGAUGAGUGAAAGUAAAAUUUCACUCUAAAUAAUAUACAUCGGUAAUGUUGACCGUCCUCAUUUCUCUUCUUAAAGUAAUGUUUCCUUCUUGUAGGGCCGGUAGCUCAGUUGGUUAGAGCACACCCUUGAUAAGGGUGGGGUCGAAAGUUCGAGUCUUUCUCGGCCCACCAAAAACCUAAAUGGGGGAUUAGCUCAUCUGGGAGAGCGCCUGAUUUGCAUUCAGGGGGUAGCAGGUUCGAUCCCUGUAUCCUCCACCAGGAAACAUUUAGUUAUUAAAACUGUAAAUAAAGAUAAUUUAUAUCAAUAUCUAUAUCCGAACAUUAAAAGUUAUUAUUUAAUGUUCAAAAUAAAGAUUUGAUCACAACAUAGAUUAAUUUUCUGUUAAAAGAAUUUUUUUCUGUGCAUAAAUCAAGCGUUUAAGGGCGUGUAGUGGAUGCCUNGGCACUGAAAGCCGAUGAAGGACGUGAUAUACUGCGAUAAGUUUCGGGGAGCUGUAUGUAAGCUUUGAUCCGAA
RNAcentral lists this unclassified non-coding RNA (527 nucleotides) under uncultured Pelagibacterales bacterium. RNAcentral describes it as "partial 16S-23S ribosomal RNA intergenic spacer". The stretch from base 420 to 527 matches the Rfam family "Bacterial large subunit ribosomal RNA", at positions 1 to 108 of the family's 2925-position model. Lineage: Bacteria; Pseudomonadati; Pseudomonadota; Alphaproteobacteria; Candidatus Pelagibacterales. The record is from RNAcentral.